UAAUACAUCGGAACGUGUCUUCUAGUGGGGGAUAACUGCCCGAAAGGGCGGCUAAUACCGCAUGAGACCUGAGGGUGAAAGCGGGGGAGUCGCAAGACCUCGCGCUGGAAGAGCGGCCGAUGUCCGAUUAGCUAGUUGGUGAGGUAAAGGCUCACCAAGGCGACGAUCGGUAGCUGGUCUGAGAGGACGACCAGCCACACUGGGACUGAGACACGGCCCAG
Molecule: ribosomal RNA, 221 nt
Filed under: uncultured bacterium
Lineage: Bacteria
Description: partial 16S ribosomal RNA
Rfam family: Bacterial small subunit ribosomal RNA
Source: RNAcentral